GAUGAACGCUGGCGGCGUGCCUAAUACAUGCAAGUCGAGCGAACGGACGAGAAGCUUGCUUCUCUGAUGUUAGCGGCGGACGGGUGAGUAACACGUGGAUAACCUACCUAUAAGACUGGGAUAACUUCGGGAAACCGGAGCUAAUACCGGAUAAUAUUUUGAACCGCAUGGUUCAAAAGUGAAAGACGGUCUUGCUGUCACUUAUAGAUGGAUCCGCGCUGCAUUAGCUAGUUGGUAAGGUAACGGCUUACCAAGGCAACGAUGCAUAGCCGACCUGAGAGGGUGAUCGGCCACACUGGAACUGAGACACGGUCCAGACUCCUACGGGAGGAAGCAGUAGGGAAUAUUCCGCAAUGGGCGAAAGCCUGACGGAGCAACGCCGCGUGAGUGAUGAAGGUCUUCGGAUCGUAAAACUCUGUUAUUAGGGAAGAACAUAUGUGUAAGUAAAUGUGCACAUCUUGACGGUACCUAAUCAGAAAGCAACGGCUAACUACGUG
Molecule: ribosomal RNA, 497 nt
Filed under: uncultured bacterium
Lineage: Bacteria
Description: partial 16S ribosomal RNA
Rfam family: Bacterial small subunit ribosomal RNA
Source: RNAcentral